This 1385-nucleotide ribosomal RNA is filed under the name uncultured bacterium. RNAcentral's name for it is "bacterial SSU rRNA". It matches the Rfam family "Bacterial small subunit ribosomal RNA". The record is from RNAcentral.
GGAAGGGGGGGGGGGGCGCCUAUCAUGCAAGUCGAACGAAGUAGCAAUACUUAGUGGCAGACGGGUGAGUAACAUGUAGGUAUCUUCCCAUUGGUGAGGAAUAACACGAGGAAACUUGUGCUAAUACCUCAUAAGUCUUUACGGAGAAAGCUUUAUGCGCCGAUGGAUGAGCCUGCACUUGAUUAGUUUGUUGGUAGGGUAAUGGCCUACCAAGACAAUGAUCAAUAGCUGAUUUGAGAGGAUGAUCAGCCACAUUGGGACUGAGACACGGCCCAAACUCCUACGGGAGGCAGCAGUAGGGAAUCUUGCACAAUGGGGGAAACCCUGAUGCAGCGAUGCCGCGUGAGUGAAGAAGGCCUUUGGGUUGUAAAGCUCUUUCGUCGGGGAAGAAAAUGACUGUACCCGAAUAAGAAGGUCCGGCUAACUUCGUGCCAGCAGCCGCGGUAAUACGAAGGGACCUAGCGUAGUUCGGAAUUACUGGGCUUAAAGAGUUCGUAGGUGGUUAAAAAAGUUGGUGGUGAAAUCCCAGAGCUUAACUCUGGAACUGCCAUCAAAACUUUUUAGCUAGAGUAUGAUAGAGGAAAGCAGAAUUUCUAGUGUAGAGGUGAAAUUCGUAGAUAUUAGAAAGAAUACCAAUUGCGAAGGCAGCUUUCUGGAUCAUUACUGACACUGAGGAACGAAAGCAUGGGUAGCGAAGAGGAUUAGAUACCCUCGUAGUCCAUGCCGUAAACGAUGUGUGUUAGACGUUGGAAAUUUAUUUUCUGUGUCGCAGCGAAAGCAAUAAACACACCGCCUGGGGAGUACGACCGCAAGGUUAAAACUCAAAUGAAUUGACGGGGACCCGCACAAGUAGUGGAGCAUGUGGUUUAAUUCGAAGAUACGCGCAGAACCUUACCAACACUUGACAUGUUCGUCGCGACUUUAAGAGAUUAAAGUUUUCGGUUCGGCCGGACGAAACACAGGUGCUGCAUGGCUGUCGUCAGCUCGUGUCGUGAGAUGUUGGGUUAAGUCCCGCAACGAGCGCAACCCUCACUUUUAGUUGCCAUCAUUUAGUUGGGCACUCUGAAAGAACUGCCAGUGAUAAGCUGGAGGAAGGUGGGGAUGACGUCAAGUCCUCAUGGCCCUUACGUGUUGGGCUACACACGUGCUACAAUGGCAUUUACAAUAGGAAGCAAGACGGCGACGUUAAGCAAAUCCUAAAAAAAUGCCUCAGUUCGGAUUGUACUCUGCAACUCGAGUACAUGAAGCUGGAAUUACUAGUAAUCGCGGAUCAGCGCGCCGCGGUGAAUACGUUCCCGGGUCUUGUACACACCGCCCGUCACACCAUGGGAGUUAGUUCUACCUUAAGGCAAAGUUUAAUACCUUGACCCACCGUAAUUACGGGG